CGGAAUCGAACCUGGGACCCUUGAGUCCCCAGGCCGACGCUCUAUCCAUUGAGCCAAACCAGUUAGGGCGAGACUGCUUUCUGUAUAUAUCCAGGACCUAACUCCUCAACCCUGUCACAUUCCGGCAAUUCUGUAAAACUCUACCAUGGACCACAGUCCCAAGAAUUCCUGAACACAGACAUGGAGUGAAGCCUGUGAACACCUGUGAACAACCCACACUUCCCAUUGAUGCUCACAAGGUGCUGAGCAUAACAAGAGAGACCAGGAAGCUGCUUCUCAGACUUCUCUAUCAAAUCAGCAGUCCCCGUAAUAUCAGAAUGAGGACAUGAACUUGACAGAUGAAGAGCCAGAGAGGGGACUUGACUUGCUCAAGGUCACACCAUCUAGAACUCAGGUUUCCUGACUCAGUUCAUUGGCUCGAAGGAACAGCCAUUAUUCAGCAAAGACAUAAUAUUGUUUCAGACUUCCUUUAAGUUGUAAUGAAUCAUUUAACCAAACUCCGGUAAAUUUCACAAGAGCUUCUGGAAGCAAAGGUGCGGUAACAAGAAACCUAUGACAGCCCAGACCACAGCUACAUCACACUAUGGGUGUUUCCUACUGGGAAAGGGGAUUUGAUUGCUUUGGAGACAGCACAACACUGACGGCCUUUCCCCUGGGCAGAGAAUUAAAUAAACUCUGGGGCUUCUCCCUCAAAACACAUCACACAUGGUUAAAGUCUAUGUAUACAGUGCAGUUAACCUGUCGUAGAAAAGUUGGCAAUAAUCUUCAGACACUAGCACCAAAUAAAGGCUUCCAAAUUCUCA
This is a long non-coding RNA of Myotis lucifugus (little brown bat), 803 nucleotides long. RefSeq lists it as uncharacterized. The transcript has 2 exons. The record is from RefSeq and is a predicted model, not a curated record. Lineage: Eukaryota; Metazoa; Chordata; Mammalia; Chiroptera; Vespertilionidae.